Molecule: ribosomal RNA, 470 nt
Filed under: uncultured beta proteobacterium
Lineage: Bacteria; Pseudomonadati; Pseudomonadota; Betaproteobacteria
Description: bacterial SSU rRNA
Rfam family: Bacterial small subunit ribosomal RNA
Source: RNAcentral
GGAGGACUCCUAAAGAUCGCAAGACCUUGCGCUCAUUGAGCGGCCGACUCUUGAUUAGCUAGUUGGUGAGGUGAAGGCUUACCAAGGCGACGAUCAGUAGCUGGUCUGAGAGGACGACCAGCCACACUGGGACUGAGACACGGCCCAGACUCCUACGGGAGGCAGCAGUGGGGAAUUUUGGACAAUGGGGGAAACCCUGAUCCAGCCAUGCCGCGUGAGUGAAGAAGGCCUUCGGGUUGUAAAGCUCUUUCAGCCGGAACGAAACGGUCACGGCUAAUACCUGUGACUACUGACGGUACCGGAAGAAGAAGCACCGGCUAACUACGUGCCAGCAGCUGCGGUAAUUCGUAGGGUGCGAGCGUUAAUCGGAAUUACUGGGCGUAAAGCGUGCGCAGGCGGUCUUGUAAGUCAGAUGUGAAAUCCCCGGGCUUAACCUGGGAACUGCGUUUGAAACUACAAGGCUAGAAGGG